This 253-nucleotide ribosomal RNA is filed under the name uncultured bacterium. Its description in RNAcentral is "partial 16S ribosomal RNA". It matches the Rfam family "Bacterial small subunit ribosomal RNA", at positions 524 to 776 of the family's 1533-position model. The record is from RNAcentral.
UACGUAGGGUGCAAGCGUUGUCCGGAAUUAUUGGGCGUAAAGAGCGUGUAGGCGGCUAGAUAGGUCCGUUGUGAAAACUCGAGGCUCAACCUCGAGACGUCGAUGGAAACCAUCUGGCUAGAGUCCGGAAGAGGAGAGUGGAAUUCCUGGUGUAGCGGUGAAAUGCGCAGAUAUCAGGAAGAACACCCGUGGCGAAGGCGGCUCUCUGGGACGGUACUGACGCUGAGACGCGAAAGCGUGGGGAGCGAACAGG